CAGCCGCCGCCUGUCUCCACAG
Molecule: microRNA, 22 nt
Filed under: Homo sapiens (human)
Lineage: Eukaryota; Metazoa; Chordata; Mammalia; Primates; Hominidae
Description: hsa-miR-6746-3p
Source: miRBase by way of RNAcentral